AUUGAACGCUGGCGGCAUGCCUUACACAUGCAAGUCGAACGGCAGCACGGGUGCUUGCACCUGGUGGCGAGUGGCGAACGGGUGAGUAAUACAUCGGAACGUACCUUAUCGUGGGGGAUAACGCAGCGAAAGCUGUGCUAAUAACGCAUACGCCCUGCGGGGGAAGGCGGGGGAUCGAAAGACCUCGCGCGAGUAGAGCGGCCGAUGCCUGAUUAGCUUGUUGGUGGGGUAAAAGCCCACCAAGGCGACGAUCAGUAGCUGGUCUGAGAGGACGAUCAGCCACGCUGGGACUGAGACACGGCCCAGACUCCUACGGGAGGCAGCAGUGGGGAAUUUUGGACAAUGGGGGCAACCCUGAUCCAGCAAUGCCGCGUGAGUGAAGAAGGUCUUCGGGUUGUAAAGCUCUUUUGUCAGGGAAGAAACACCGGCUCUAACACAGUCCGGGAAUGACGGUACCUGAAGAAUAAGCACCGGCUAACUACGUGCCAGCCGCCGCGGUAA
Molecule: ribosomal RNA, 501 nt
Filed under: uncultured bacterium
Lineage: Bacteria
Description: partial 16S ribosomal RNA
Rfam family: Bacterial small subunit ribosomal RNA
Source: RNAcentral